CAGCACUGGGCCAGACAAUUCUCCAUGCCCUACAGGACAGGUAAGAUCGCCCCAACCCACACCCACCAGGCUGCAACAGCAAGCAGGAAGGUGACAGAAUCGGGCCAGGACAGCAGUGACCACUCCAUCAGGACGACGGGACACGGACAGCCUUGAACUCAGCUGGAAGGGAGAGCUGCCAACGCUCUCCAGGACAGGUAAGAUCACCCCAACCCACACCCACCAGGCUCUAACAGCAAGCCGGAAGGUGACACGAUCCGGCGGGGACACCAGGGACCGCUCCGUCAGGAUGACAGGAGACAGACGGAUGUGGUGAGAUGCUCAAAACCCUCGGGCACAGAGGCAGGGGCUGCCCGUGGUCACACGGGGAUGCUGCUCUGUUGUUCCUUCUC
Molecule: long non-coding RNA, 392 nt
Filed under: Anas platyrhynchos platyrhynchos (common mallard)
Lineage: Eukaryota; Metazoa; Chordata; Aves; Anseriformes; Anatidae
Description: lncRNA (ENSAPLG00000023687.1)
Source: RNAcentral